Molecule: ribosomal RNA, 449 nt
Filed under: uncultured bacterium
Lineage: Bacteria
Description: partial 16S ribosomal RNA
Rfam family: Bacterial small subunit ribosomal RNA
Source: RNAcentral
AACGAACGCUGGCGGCAUGCCUAACACAUGCAAGUCGAACGAAGCCUUCGGGCUUAGUGGCGCACGGGUGCGUAACGCGUGGGAAUCUGCCCUUUGGUUCGGAAUAACAGUUGGAAACGACUGCUAAUACCGGAUGAUGACGAAAGUCCAAAGAUUUAUCGCCAGAGGAUGAGCCCGCGUAGGAUUAGCUAGUUGGUGUGGUAAAGGCGCACCAAGGCGACGAUCCUUAGCUGGUCUGAGAGGAUGAUCAGCCACACUGGGACUGAGACACGGCCCAGACUCCUACGGGAGGCAGCAGUGAGGAAUAUUGGACAAUGGGCGAAAGCUUGAUACAGCAAUGCCGCGUGAGUGAUGAAGGCCUUAGGGUUGUAAAGCUCUUUUACCCGGGAUGAUAAUGACAGUACCGGGAGAAUAAGCGCCGGCUAACUCCGUGCCAGCCGCCGCCGUAA